RNAcentral lists this long non-coding RNA (585 nucleotides) under Panax ginseng (ginseng). RNAcentral's name for it is "long non-coding RNA (PGIN_LNC001041)". Lineage: Eukaryota; Viridiplantae; Streptophyta; Magnoliopsida; Apiales; Araliaceae. The record is from RNAcentral.
CCCAAUUCACCAUUUCUGAAACAAACUCAUCGGAAAUAAAAAAAAUAUGAAAAAAGUAUAAAAAAAAUUAGUCUCAGACGCUUCACCUAAGUCUUCAAACCCAUAACCUUUGUCAUCUCCGAUCUACUUAAGAACCAUUAGAUCGAGACUCAAGCACAACCAUAAAAGAGAAAAAAGAACAAAAAAAAGUAAAAAAUGCAUGCCCAAAUCAUUUAUGACAUAUGUUGACCAAGAUAGCAAGAAAAUGAAGGCCCUGCGAUUCAAGCAAAUCAUAAAUAAUUCUUCUUCCAUAUUUGCCCACUGCUAUACCAUUGUUAAAGAGAGAUAAGAAUUAGGUAAAAUAGAAUUGAGAGCUUUGGAUAAUGGCAAAGAAUUGAUGAUAAAGAAAUUGUUAAUGAUGUAAUUAGGCUCGGUAUAGCAUUAGUGAUGCAAAACGAUCCAAGGACAGAGUGUGUGAUCAGCGGAGAUGCGAUGGAGGAGGAGGGAUUUGGCGUCAGAGAAUUUGCAGUGGGUGUGGGAGGAGGUUGAAGAGGUAGGAGAAGGGGGCAAAGAAUAAAAACAACAAACAUGCAAAGCAACCCAAAC